Molecule: long non-coding RNA, 1294 nt
Filed under: Portunus trituberculatus (swimming crab)
Lineage: Eukaryota; Metazoa; Arthropoda; Malacostraca; Decapoda; Portunidae
Description: uncharacterized LOC123503995, transcript variant X2
Source: RNAcentral
CAGGAACAGCUGAGCGUCGCGUCUCACAGCACUGCCCGCUUCUGACACUGCCUGUGCUUGCGUUGGUGCUGAAGAUGUUGGUGUAGUCUACACUUGAUUUCCUCUCCGUGACUUCUAAGUAAUUGGAGUGGCUGGUCUCUCGCGGCUCCGGGCUUGAUGGACGCACGAAGGCUGAUGUAGAGGAGGAGAAGGUAGAGGAACGGGUCACCGGCAUGAUUUUUUCCGGGUUGCUGGCGAAUGACGGGAAGCGGGGAGGCGCAAGCUGUUAAGUCAUUGGCGCGGUCGCUGAAUAAAUAAACAACUGAAUAUGGAUCUUUUAUAAUAGGAUUCGAAUUUUGAAAAUCUUCCGCUCUCAACAGGAUCAUAGGCAUCUUGACAACGAGGUGGCCGGUGACCUGCGACCUUUGGGCAGUGGCUUGACCCGGCCUGACCUCCUCCAUCAUGACCAGCUGCAACACCUUCUCCUUCACUGUGAUCCGUACAUACCAAGGCUCCACGUCGCACGUCACCAAGGAGGCGUCCAGAUGUCUGUGUAUAGAGGCGAAAAUAUUCUCCACGAGGAUGGCAAGCAAGUAACGGACAGUAGCUAUUCUCUAUAACACUGGUGGGAGAAAACGAAGUAGUUCACCUGUACGUGUUCACCUCCAGGACGAAACAGUUGCUCUCCUCGUCCUCGGUCAACUGGAACGUGAGCUUGGCGGCGUUGACAUUCAAGGGGCGCCCGUCAUCAGUGAAAAGACGAACCUCACGCCGCUGCUGCGAUACACAUUCACACAAAACAAGUGAGUAAACAUGACAAGGAACAUUAAAAUACAUUAAAAACAAUAAGGAAAAUAGAAAUAGAAAAAAAAAGUUGACGUAGACAUUGAGUGAAAGUGACAAGGAAUGUUAAAAAUAUAAUAAAAACAACAAAUACAGUGAGGAAAAUAACAAGGAACUAAGAACUAAACAUUGAAUUAGUGUGGCUGGGAAUAUUAUGCAAAAAAGAGUUUAGAAAUAGAAAUUGUACAUAUUGCUGUAUAAAAGUAUAUGUAAAUGUGUGCAGUGAUGACGAGAGAAAGAAAAGAAUAACAUGUUACAAUAACGAAAUAUAAAGAAAACGAUGGCAGUAAUCUGUAGCAACGUUCCCGCUAUUCUCCGUAAAGAAAAAUAAGAUAGAAAUAUAAAAUAUAGAAAUACCAGCUGUUGCAUGUAUUUCUGCUUGAAGGUAUAACUAUAUAUAGGGAUUCUCGGAAAACUUGAUGAAAUAUAAGGAAAACUAUGUAAAAUGAAUUACUGAAACACAUUGAAGUGA